CUGGAGGGAGGAGCUCCCUGGGGUUUUACUCUAAAAGGUGGCCUGGAGCACGGAGAACCAUUAAUCAUCUCUAAGGUCGAAGAAGGGGGCAAAGCAGACACCCUGAGCUCCAAACUACAGGCUGGGGAUGAGGUUGUGCACAUCAAUGAGGUGACUCUGAGCAGCUCCAGAAAGGAGGCAGUUUCCCUGGUGAAAGGAUCCUACAAGACCCUCAGGCUGGUAGUGCGCAGUUGAACUUUCAAUGGAAAAGGAGGCUGCCUUUACAUCUGACACAUGCUUAUAGAUGGGGAUUAUCAACACGCCUCUGGAGACAUGGAUGGACAUUCCUCCCCUACCUUGCAGAGAUCCGGGUAGAAGCCUCUUUGCUCUGGAUUAAUCUGGCUUUGUAUUUCGUAGUGCUGUCACUUUCCUGAGAAGUCUUACCUUUAUACCUUGGCACACGUCAUCGUCCUGAGAUUCUGUUUCCUUUGAUUUAUUGAGCCAGAGUGACUAAGGACAUUUCAUUUAUUAACUUUCUUUUUUUCUAUGUGAUCUCUACACUUUAAAAAAGACUGGGGUGACUUCCUGGAAACAUAAUAGGAAGGAGUGUCUGUUUCAUGAAUAAAUCAUUUGUGUAGUCAAAAUGUA
Molecule: small RNA, 627 nt
Filed under: Pongo abelii (Sumatran orangutan)
Lineage: Eukaryota; Metazoa; Chordata; Mammalia; Primates; Hominidae
Description: processed transcript
Source: RNAcentral